This 73-nucleotide transfer RNA is filed under the name Plasmodium yoelii. RNAcentral's name for it is "tRNA PY17X_API03641". It matches the Rfam family "tRNA". Rfam says of the family: Transfer RNA (tRNA) molecules are approximately 80 nucleotides in length. The record is from RNAcentral. Lineage: Eukaryota; Apicomplexa; Aconoidasida; Haemosporida; Plasmodiidae. RNAcentral also lists the same sequence under 1 other name.
AAUGAUAUAACUUAAUUAGGUAAAGUGAAUAAUUGCAAAUUAUUUUAUUUCAGUUCAAAUCUGAAUAUCAUUU